This 6557-nucleotide long non-coding RNA is filed under the name Sus scrofa (pig). RNAcentral's name for it is "lncRNA (ENSSSCG00040042661.1)". The record is from RNAcentral. Lineage: Eukaryota; Metazoa; Chordata; Mammalia; Artiodactyla; Suidae.
GGAACCCUCCUACACUGUUGGUGGGAAUGUAGAUUGGUGCAGACACUAUUGAGAACAGCAUUAUCCUCUAAAAACUAAAAACAGAACUACCAUAUGAUCUAGCAGUCCAACUCUGGGCAUAUAUUUGGACAAAACUCUAACUCAAAAAGAUACAUGCACCCCAAUGUUUAUAGCAGCAUUAUUCACAAUAGCCAAGACAUGGAAACAACCUAAAUGUCCAUUGACAGUGGAGAAAAAAGAAGAGCCUUCAAUGUGCUGCCUACCAGAGACACACUUUAGGGCAAAGAACACACAUAGAUUAGAAGUGAGGGGGUGGAAAAAGAUAUUUAAUGCAAAUGGAAAUGACAGGAAAGUGAAAGACAAAAUAGUCUUAAAACAGUCCAUGAAACAGAAUUCCUUACCAUGUUUUGGACUCAAAAUUCUUCAAGCAAAUUUUUAUUCCCUUGAAAUCUGGUGGCUUAUAAAACAAAAAUUCUCUCCCACACAACUAUAAUACAUGGAUCAGAACCAGGGCAUAUGCAAUUAAAACUCCCUUUACAAAGAAAUUUACCUAGUCGCCUUUGUGAGGUGCCUUUCUCUAAGAGGGAAAGGUUUUGAUAAGAUGUUGAUUUUGCCCCUUAGAGCCUCUUCUGCAUUUUUUAUCCCACUGAGGUUAUGGUAAAAUAAGUGUGCAGAGGUAUUCACUCCUUGGAGGGUUACAGGUCUAGGGCUUCUCAGCCUGCUUUCUGCACAUGCAAAUUUAGGACCUCACAUGCUGUUUACACGCUUAAAUUGCCUAAGGUUAUUUUCUUACUAGCUUAGAGAUUCCAUUGAGAAUGCAAUUUCCUAAAAGCGAAGGUGAGUGAGUUUCUGGUGUCUGCUUCCAAAAUCUCAUAUGCAAAUUUCUACAUCUGAAAUUCUUUCCUAGACCCUGUUACCAAAGUCACUAUCAAUCACUCCCUUCCUUUUUUCUCAUAAAUAAAUGACAACCUCUGAGACCCUUUAUUUCAUUUUGACUCAUCGCUGUUUAAACACAUUGUUCAACUGAGAAUGUUUACCAGUCUGUGUUGCUCAAAACCAUUUUUGUCUCAUUGUUUGUUAUUAGGGUCUAGUAGCCUUCAUUCUUAAUUUGAUCACUAUUUAAGGAAAUAGCUGAUUCAUAUCUAUGCUUAUUUCUUAUUCAUAAUACUUUGACAAAGAUAAACAACACAUACAAUAUUUUAAUUUUUUCUGGAUACUUCACUCAGAGAUACAGACUUAAGUUCAUUUGGUUUGUCUUCUAAACAAUCUCCCUUCAUGACAGAUAUUUAGAUGUUCAGUGGGAUCAUUAAGAAAUUACCACAUAUUUGUAUUUUUACAAAGGCAGCAAACCAUUUUAAGGCAAUAGUGCCUGUCUUAGGGUUACCAUUCACUAACUGCUAAAAAAUUAAAAUCCUUUAAAUCUCACUUUCUCUUUUUAUUCCUAAAAUAAGUAAUUUGGCUAGAUUAAAUAAAGGGGAAGCAAAAAUAUCUUGACUGGAAAUUUAUAAACCUCUUCCCAUCCUUAUAUUAUUUAUCAUACCUGAUAAAGGUUUUAUUUUGUGAUUAUAUUAGUGAAUUCACUUUUAUUCAUUAUUUCUUGUGUAAUUAAAAUUCAGUAUUAUCAAAUACUUAAUAUUAUUCAUAUUUGCCCUAAGUACCUAGAUUAUUUGUUUCUGUGUAUCAGGGUCUUAUAUCAUUAAGGCUGUGUUUUAGUAUUUAUGCUGAAAGUUGAACUAUUAUUCCUUAUGUAAUUAACCUUGUAAUUACCCAAUUUCACAUAAUGAAAAUAAAUUCAAAAUUGUGAUUCUGUACCUAUAAACACAAUUCUAUUUAUUCAUUUAUUUAUUUUGCUAUUUAGGACCACACUUGCAGCACAUGGAAGUUCACAGGCUAGGGUCGAAUUGAAGCUAUAUCUGCCAGCUUACACCACAGCCACAGUAACAUGGGAUCUGAGCCAUGUCUGCGACCUACACCACAGCUCUUGGAAACACCAGAGCCCUAACCCACUGAAUGAGGCCAGGGAUCAAAUCUGUAUCCUCAUGGAUACUAGUUGGAUUUGUUUCUGCUGAGCCACAAUGGGAGCCCCCAUUUUUUUUUUUUUUUUUACUGUUAGUUACAAAUAUUGUAGAAAUACUUUGUUUUCUGGUGAAUGCUGUAGAAAUUCUGUGAUGGGAACUCCUGUUCUUAUAAGGUGUUUCUCACAUUGAUAGUUUAAUAACAGUUAACAUUCUGUACACUUCCUGAUAUCUAGCAAGUUAUAUUUAUUCAUGUCCAACUCAGUUUGACAACAGACAUUUCUCAUCUUGAUGAACGUAUUUGUCAUGGACCCAUUUCUUAGAAAGAUUGACAAUGCAAAAGCUCUUGAAACCACAGGAUUGUAUUUUUUGCUGUCAUAUUUUUUUCAUCCUCAAUUCCAGUUUUAUUUGUUCUGUGAAAUCAAAUCGGGAAGAUGUGUGUGUCUAUGUGUGUGUGUUUGUGUGUGUGCGUGUGUGAGAUCAGGGGGCAGUUUUUUUCCCUAACAGAUGUGGACACAGAUUCAGUUUUAAGUAAUCUUCCACUUUAUCAUCAUAGUAAUUUAUGGCUUUAAAUAUUUCCAGGAGCUUUGGCAAUUUUAUUUUGUCAUUAUUUUUAAAGCAUUUUUUUGAUGAAACCCCUCUAUAGAGACCAUUUUGGAGUUAUGGGUCUUCUAGACAACCUGGUAAAAUACAUAGUUCUAAAAAUAUCUAGUGAAUUCAGUUCCCCUAAAUAAUUCCACAUAUUUCAAAAUGGAAGGACCUUCAGGACACAAACAUACAAAUCUGAGUCAGACAACCUGUGAAAAAUGUUUCAAAAAUCUCAAAGAUAUACUUGGAGUGAUCUGUUGUCAGCAAAGGGGAAGCACGCCAUUCCAUCUUAUUCCUCUCAUUGAUUGCAGUGAAACCUUCUGGGCUCUGAAAGGUAAAUGAUACGAGGUAGAUUGGGAUAGGAUGUCAAAACUGAAGAAAGACUGUUCACCAGUGAGUUUCCUUUUUUUUCCUUUCGUUUUUCUUUUUUCUCCCAAGGGUGGCCCAAAUAUGAGCCUCAUGUGAAUAACACAAACUGCAAUUGAAGCUAAAAGCUAGACGGAGUUCCUAUUUUGUGGCUCAGUGGUAACGAACCCAACGAACUGAUGUAGGUUCAAUCCCUGGCCCUGCUCAGUGGGUUAAGGAUCCCGUGUUGCAGCAAGUUGUGGAGUAGGUCUCAGAAGGCGUGGCUGUGGCUGUGGCAUAGGCAGCUGCAGCACUGAUUCAGCUCCUUGCCUGGGAGCUUCCACAUGCCAGGGGUGGGGCCAUUAAAAAAAAAGAAAAGAAAAAAAUAAAAGCUAAGUUAGAGAGUAUAUGGUAGCACUUAUUUUUCUCCCUGCCCUACUCCAGGACCAGGAUAUUCCAUUAAACUGCACCUGCAACAGUAGUGCAGAAAAUGAACAUUUGAUACAGAACAUUUGCUUCUCUGGUCAGAGGGAUCAGGGAUGAGGGUCCCUUUUGUCCAGAGUGUGGGAAGAGUCCUGCUAUUUUUUCCCCUCCUUUCUUUCUCUUGCUGCUUUGCUGAGUGUAGCUCAUUUUGUGUGGAAAAUGUGCAGCACAGCUGGGGAUAGCAUUCAGAAAUUUUUUUUUUGGCCAGAGAAAUCAGGAAAAGUGGUUCCUGGGCUCUAGAGUGUUGGAAAGAGAGCCUGCAAAGAGAUGAGCCUGAUCCCUUGAUCCUGUAAUUCUGCAUGUGAGUCAGUAGAAAUCUCAAGCUUACCCUUGAACUUGCUAGUCACAGAAUAGACUCCAAGAGGCACUGAAGAGGCUUUGAGAAAUAAACACUUUAUAAACCAGGUUUGAAAAACUAUAUCUCAAAGGUUAAUCCAGCCCACGGACAGACUUUUUACAGCCCAGGAGCUAAUAUUUAGCUUUUAAUAAUAGCUUUUGUAUUUUUAAGGGCUGUAAAAGAAGCAAGCAAAUAAUAAACAAAGCAGAAUAUGUAACAGAGAUCAUAUGUGGUCCACAAAACCUGCAGUAUUAUGUAACCCUUUACAGAAAAAAAAAAAAAAAAAGAAAAAGAAAAAGAAAAAGAAAAAUUGCUGAUCCCUGAUAGGAACUGCCCAAAUCCCAGGUGAAGCUUUAAACGGCAGUGCACUGGGCAGCAUGGACAGCAUGGCACAGGCAAUGCAAACCACACUGACCUUGAACUACACUUACAGAGAAGUGAGACAAAUGUGUAGGCUUAACCUAAUCUGGUUAAUUGUCUGUAAAAAUAAGCAAACAAGACCUCAAGAGACAUUCUCCAAAUGAUUUUAAAAGAAUCACAUCGCCCAAAUAAUACUGAAACUGUCGAAGGUCCAAUGCAAAAUUACUUGAGAUAAUAAAAGCUGCAAAAUGUGACAAAUUAUCAGCUUCAAACCCCAAGUUGAGAAAUAUUUUAAAGUGGAUGUUAUUAUUAUUAAUUUUUUUAGGGCCUCAUCCAUGGCAUAUUCAAAUUCCCAGACUAGGGGUCGAAUCAGAGCUACAGCUGCUGGCCUAUGCCACAGCCACAGAAACAUGGGACCUGAGUUGCAUCUGCAAGCUACACCUCAGCUCACGGCAAUGCCAGAUCCUUAACCCACUGAGCGAGGCCAGGGAUCUAACCCACAUCCUCAUGGAUGCUAGUCAGAUUUGUUUCCACUACACCACAGUGGGAACUCCUAAAGUGGAUAUUGUGCUCCACAUGAUAGAGAUGAAAACUAUUCAAAAGGAAGGACAGUAGAAUUCUUAUCAGAAAAAUAUAAACUAUAAUAAAACUAAAUGAAGGGGUUGCUGCUGUGCUGCAAUGGUAUUGCUGAAGCUGUAGCAUAAUUGCAGCUGCAGUUUAGAUUUGACUCCUGGCCUCAAAACUUCCAUAUGCCACAUGUGCAGCCGAAAAAAAAAAAAAAACCCUAAGUAAAAAUGUUAGAACUGAAAUACAUAAUAUACAAUGUGAGAAAAAAGAAUGUAUACAUGUAUAUGUAACUGGGUUACCAUGCUGUACAGUAGAAAAUUGACAGAACACUGUAAAUCAGCUAUAAUGGAAAAAAUAAAAAUCAUUAUUAAAAAAAAAUUGGAGUUCCCAUCAUGGCGCAGCUGAAACAAAUCUGACUAGGAUCGAUGAGGUUUUGGGUUCUAUCCCUGGCCUUGCUCAGUGUGUUGAGGAUCCGGCAUUGCUGUGAGUUCUGGUGUAGGUCACAGAUGUGGCUCAGAUCCCCUGUUGCUGUGGCUGUGGUGUAGGCCAGCAGCUGUAGCUCUGAUUGGACCCCUAACCUAGAAACCUCCAUAUGCUGUGGGUGUGGCCCUAAAAAAAAUAAAAAUAUAAAAAAGUUUAUCAUAAGGACAUAAUAGUAGAAAAUGUCAAAUAUUUUGAUAUAUCAGUAGAAUGUAUCCAAACUGAAGUACAGAGGGGGAAAAAAGAUAAAAGAAAGAUUAGAGCCUCAGAGGUUUGGGGACAAUAUAAAAAAAUCUAGCAUUUAUCACUCUGGAAUACUAAAAACAAAAAGAAAUGGAUUUGAUUAAAAUUCAAAAAGAAGAGAUACUGGUGAAAAUAUCCUAAGUUUUUUUUAAAAAAUUGUGAAUAUACAAAUUAAAGAAGUUCAGAAAACUUUAAAAAGUAUAAAUCAUAUCCAGGCACAUCAUGAUUAAGAGCUAAAACCAAAGAAUAAAAAAUAUAAUCCUGAUAUAGACAGUGAAAAAGGAAACACAGCAGCAUAUAGGGAAUAAUAAUUUGAAUGAAAGUGAAUUUCUUUUUAGAAAACAUGGCUUCUAGAGGACAUUGGAAUGAUAUUUAAAUUGCCUAAGAAGAGGGAGGGGCCAUAUUUUGAACCUGAGAUUCUAAAUCCUGUGACACUAUUCUUGGGGAAUGAGUUAGUUAGAGAUGCUUUCAGAUGAAGGAAAAAUAAAACAAGAUUUGUAAAUAGUAUUUCUCUAAAAAAUGCUAAAGAAAAUUUUUCAAGAAAAAUGAUUUUCUUAUGCUCUUUAAGAGAAAUGAUUAUAGAGGCAAUCUUUGAACUAUAAAAGUGAAGGGAAAGCAUGGUAAAUAUAUGGUAAUAUUAGAAACGUUUUCUUACCUUCCUAUUAUUUAAAGUAAUUAUGAAUGUUGGAAGCUAAAUUUGUAAGUGUCUAGUAGAGUUUUCAAUCUAUGUAGAUGUAAUAUAUUUAUGACAACAGUAAAAUAAAAUGAGGCAGAAAAAGAGCUAUGUGACCUUAAAAUGAACAUUUUAAUUGAAUUGGUAAAAUAAUUACUUUAAUUAGAAUUUUAAAGGUUAGUUAUUUAUCUAGUAAUUGCUAGAGCUAUCAAUCAAAAAUAAAAAGAGAUACAGACAAUACAUUAUUCUACACAAUCCUAAUAAAAAUCUCAGCAGGAUUUUUUUUGGGGGGUAGAUGUAGACCAACUGUUUUUAAAAUUACAUGAAUAGGCAAAUGGAAUACAAUAAACAAAAUAACUGAGAAAGUAAGAACAUAUUUGCUGGACUUACUACCUGAUUUAAAGACCUACAUUAAGUCUGCAGUUAUCAAGUCAUAGACAAGUACAACAGAAUUGAAAGUGUGGAA